GGAGAGGUGCAAGAGUGGCUUAAUUGGCUCGCCUGGAAAGCGGGUAUACCCCAAAAGGGUAUCGAGGGUUCGAAUCCCUCCCUCUCCG
This 88-nucleotide transfer RNA is filed under the name Cyclobacteriaceae bacterium. Its description in RNAcentral is "tRNA-Ser". It matches the Rfam family "tRNA". From Rfam's summary of the family: Transfer RNA (tRNA) molecules are approximately 80 nucleotides in length. Their secondary structure includes four short double-helical elements and three loops (D, anti-codon, and T loops). Further hydrogen bonds mediate the characteristic L-shaped molecular structure. tRNAs have two regions of fundamental functional importance: the anti-codon, which is responsible for specific mRNA codon recognition, and the 3' end, to which the tRNAs corresponding amino acid is attached (by aminoacyl-tRNA synthetases). tRNAs cope with the degeneracy of the genetic code in two manners: having more than one tRNA (with a specific anti-codon) for a particular amino acid; and 'wobble' base-pairing, i.e. permitting non-standard base-pairing at the 3rd anti-codon position. Lineage: Bacteria; Pseudomonadati; Bacteroidota; Cytophagia; Cytophagales; Cyclobacteriaceae. The record is from RNAcentral.